Molecule: ribosomal RNA, 375 nt
Filed under: uncultured organism
Description: partial 16S ribosomal RNA
Rfam family: Bacterial small subunit ribosomal RNA
Source: RNAcentral
GUAGGUGGCAAGCGUUGUCCGGGAAUUAUUGGGGCGUGAAGCGCGCGCAGGCGGUUCUUUAAGUCUGAUGUGAAAGCCCACGGGCUCAACCGUGGAGGGUCAUUGGAAACUGGAGAACUUGAGUACAGAAGAGGAAAGCGGAAUUCCACGUGUAGCGGUGAAAUGCGUAGAGAUGUGGAGGAACACCAGUGGCGAAGGCGGCUUUCUGGUCUGUAACUGACGCUGAGGCGCGAAAGCGUGGGGAGCAAACAGGAUUAGAUACCCUGGUAGUCCACGCCGUAAACGAUGAGUGCUAAGUGUUAGGGAGUUUCCGCCCCUUAGUGCUGCAGCUAACGCAUUAAGCACUCCGCCUGGGGAGUACGGCCGCAAAGGCUG